Molecule: long non-coding RNA, 1045 nt
Organism: Suricata suricatta (meerkat)
Lineage: Eukaryota; Metazoa; Chordata; Mammalia; Carnivora; Herpestidae
Exons: 4
Source: RefSeq, a predicted model, not a curated record
GCCGCUGGGCCCCCGACACGCGGUUCUUGCACAGACUCUUUUCCGCGCUGCCGGAGGCGGCGGCGGUAGCUGCGGCCAAUCGGCCAAAAAGGAUGAGAGGCCGACAGGGGAGGAGGAAGGCGGCUCCCGCGCCGCGUUACCUGAUCAGAGCGGCGACCCUCAUGCUGGGCGCAGUGCGCGUGCGUGCGUGCGUCGGGCGCGGGCGGGAGCCGGGAAGUCGCCGCCGCCGCCGCAGGCCGUGACACGCGGCCGGGCCUGGUGCGGGUGUUCGCCUCGCCGCCUGUCACCGGCUGGGCGUUACGACCGCUGCGGCUGCCUUGUGGAACACCUGUCCACGGAGGAGGCGCCACGUCGGCUCCUUGUCCCUGUGACGGGGACCUCCCGGCUCAGAAAUGAUGUUUAGGCACGGCCUGACCACCUAAGUGAGGGCACUGAAGCCGCCAGGGGAAGGGCAGCAUCCGCGUCGCCGAGCCCAAGGGCGGUGGCCGUGGAUUUGUUUCGGCAGGAGAACGUUCAAAAUCACGUAUGCUGCAAAUUGAAACAUUUGUGAACAUGCGAAGGGAGAGGAAGUUUGCCCUUACAUCCUCAGCCACCUGCAAGAAACUAACUGCACCCUUUAGUGUUUUUAAACCUCAAUCUCCUUUGUAUUAUAAAUCUAAAUCUGGAACUAGCCCCGUGAACUCGAAGCUCCCUGGGGUUUGGCCCUUUGCGUAAAUACAGCAGCCUAGAAGCUGGCUAAGGCUCCUCACGAAAGAGGCUGGGCCUUGCAGAAGCAUUCACUAAGUUAGCAAAGAUUCAAAGAAGAAAACUGGUGAAGAGACCAAUGUUGGCAAGAAAAAGGGGAAAGGAACAGUCUCAUGCUUGGCUGCUGGAGAAAUAAGAAAAGUGAGACAUAGAGUGGGUCAGAAAUUUGCCCUAGUCCCUGAACGCAAAAGUGGAAGAGCUGAGAUUCAAACCCAGAGGAUGGUCCACCUUCAGCUUCUAUGACGUAUUCAGAGGCGAAAUAGAUAUCAUGAAUAAAUGGAGCUCAGCAGAAAAACAGCAG